AUUGAACGCUGGCGGCAUGCCUUACACAUGCAAGUCGAACGGUAACGCGGGGCAACCUGGCGACGAGUGGCGAACGGGUGAGUAAUACAUCGGAACGUGCCCAGUAGUGGGGGAUAGCCCGGCGAAAGCCGGAUUAAUACCGCAUACGACCUACGGGUGAAAGCAGGGGAUCGCAAGACCUUGCGCUAUUGGAGCGGCCGAUGUCAGAUUAGGUUGUUGGUGGGGUAAAAGCCUACCAAGCCGACGAUCUGUAGCUGGUCUGAGAGGACGACCAGCCACACUGGGACUGAGACACGGCCCAGACUCCUACGGGAGGCAGCAGUGGGGAAUUUUGGACAAUGGGCGCAAGCCUGAUCCAGCCAUGCCGCGUGCGGGAAGAAGGCCUUCGGUUGU
This 393-nucleotide ribosomal RNA is filed under the name uncultured bacterium. Its description in RNAcentral is "bacterial SSU rRNA". It matches the Rfam family "Bacterial small subunit ribosomal RNA", at positions 29 to 426 of the family's 1533-position model. The record is from RNAcentral.